UGAUGGAAGAUGGAAGCCGUGGUUCUGGCUUUUCCAAAAGAACUCUGUGCUGCCUUAAAUUUGCUUUACCUGUAAGGACAAGUUGCUACCAGGACUUCAGCAGAGCUGAAAAUCUACCAGGAUCAGGCCCGGAUUAUGUAACGUUCAGUGAAUCCGAGUUCCUAGACCUGCUGGAAGAGCGUUCCUCUGCGGUAACCAGCCCCUACCACUGGCUGCUCACAGAAAUAACCAAGUCCAUUGGCUCCUGUUGGCUCGACGAAGGACUCAUACAUCAAUUUAGUACAGUGGUACUGAGAUGGAUUUAUGCUAAAACAAGAAUAAGUUUAUGAAUAAAGAACAACAAUUGAAAGGAUGCAAAGCAGAGAGAAUAGAAACAGAAAAUGGUUACAAAUAAAACACCCUUUCUAGUGUCUAAAAUUGAACAGAUUA
Molecule: long non-coding RNA, 429 nt
Organism: Mauremys reevesii (Reeves's turtle)
Lineage: Eukaryota; Metazoa; Chordata; Testudines; Geoemydidae
Exons: 2
Source: RefSeq, a predicted model, not a curated record